ACAGCCGCGUCCCUCUCUGAGCUCACUUCCGUCGGCUCGACGCGGAUCGCUCGUCCUCUCCGCCGCCGCUUUUGUUCUCCCACUCGCACCCAGCCACAGCUGUCGAGAGAACGCAGCGAGCCCGGUCGGGAAGCCGCCGCCAAGUAGCGGACCCGUGUUUCUUUUUUUCCAGCACAGAGACGGCCCGGUGGCCACAUGCCAAGCGCAGUCUGCGCUGAGGAUACGCGGCACUCCGUAGUUACAUAACUGGGACUACUUUUUUUUUUUCUUCUAUUAUUGUUGGGGUUUUUCUUUUUUUUCUCACGCUUUUUUCCCCCCUGACCCCCGCACCACCACGACCACCCGCACUCUGAACUCAAAAUGGAGAACGACGAUAAAUACCUGCCCGAGCUGCUGGCGGAGAAGGACAGCCUCGACUCGUCGUUCACGCACGCCAUGAAACUUUUAAACGCAGAAAUUGAUAGAAUCCAGAAAGGCGACACUAAAAAGGAGGCAGAAACAUACCUGGACCUUUUCACAACAAAGAACAUCAAACUAAAGGAACGAGUGCUCAUUCCUGUCAAACAGUACCCGAAGUUCAAUUUUGUGGGGAAGAUUUUGGGACCUCAGGGCAAUACAAUCAAACGGCUACAGGAAGAGACUGGGGCCAAGAUCUCUGUGCUGGGCAAAGGAUCCAUGAGAGACAAAACCAAGGAGGAGGGGCUGAGGAAAGGCGGCGAGCCAAAGUACGCACACUUGUCCAUGGAGCUGCAUGUAUUCAUCGAGGUGUUUGCCCCCGUGCCCGAGGCCUACCUGCGCAUGGCCCACGCCAUGGAGGAGGUCAAGAAGUUCCUGUUUCCUGAUAUGAUGGAUGAUAUCUGCCAAGAGCAGUUCAUGGAGAUGGGCUACCUGAACGGAGGCCAGGAGCACGGAGCCCGAGGCCGAGGGGGCAUGCCAGUCCGGGGCCGUGGCAUCCCUCCUGCCGGAGCACACAGGGGCAGGGGAAUGCCUCCCCGCGGUGCCCCCGCCAGGGGGGGCGUGGCUCGAGGUGGCCCAGCCAGAGGCGGCGCAGUGAGGAGCGCCCCGGGGGGCCGAGGGGGACCCCCUGCAGCACCUUCCAGGGGAGCUGCGGCACCGCGUGCCAGGCCCCCAGCUGCAGGACCCCCCCAGAGGAUGGCCCCUCCGCCCCCCCACCAGCACACCUCCACCGCUGCCCCAGAGAGUUACGAUGAAUAUGGCUACGACGAGAGCUACACAGACACGGCCUACGAGUCAUACGACAGCUAUUACAGUCAGCCGCAGGCAGAGCCAGAGUACUAUGACUACGGACACGGGGAGACCACAGACUCAUACGAGUCGUAUGGCCAGGAUGACUGGAACGGGACCCAGCAAUUAGGUCCAGGGAAGGCCCCUCCCCCCUCCAGAGGUGCCAAGACGCCUUACCGGGAGCACCCCUACCGACAGUACUGAAGCAGACUCGCCACCCUUAACGUGUCGCCCUGUCUACCAUGGCAGCUCUUGCUUUAAGCAGCCCGACAAAAGCACAAGUAUCGGUCACUGAGUGUCCAGAGACUGACAGUCUGCUGAAGUGAGACCGUGCAAACCUCAGCGAGGCCGUACGCGGGAGCAUCUCGGCACGACGGAAGUGGCAGGACGGCGCUCUCGGGGGCGCCCCGUUGAAACAGGAGUGGCGCCGAGCCCAUCUCUGUUCCUGGCAGGGGAGGUGGGCCGGGGGUUGUGGUGGCCGGCUGCCCAGUGACCUACGGGGGGCCAGCUGGCUCAGACUCCCACUGAAAAGGACUCAGGCUGCAGCUGGUCAGCGAAGACAUUCAGCUCAGUGGGAAAACCCGGAAAAACCAGAGACUGACAAACACGUGGACCGCUUUCUACCGCUUCAUGUCAAAUAUUGAAUUACUGUGCAUUAUCCUGGUGUAAUUAUUUUCCAACAUUGAGUACACCCACUCGAAGCCCUUUGCUGAUGGCACGCCGCUGUACAGUUUCCCGCGGACCACCCCCUCUUCCAACAAAUGUAAUUGUUCCAGCCUAAUUUACCAUAAAAUGAGCACUCCUGUUAUAGAGAGCUGUGAAAUUGUUUUUAAUUUCUAUCAACACUCGAAAAAUUAAAUGUGAAACGAACUCUUGAGCUUCUUGCGAGGCUCUUGCAUUCAAAAAGAGUCACGUGACGUCUGCAUUAUCAAGCAUUCGAUGUUAUCGGUCCCUACCCGUCGUGCUUUUCUGGCGUCGAUGCUUUACCGCUGCGUGAAAUUACACACGAGCGCUCGAGAGCCAAAGACGCACAGUGUGCGGACCCGUGUCGCGCUGCGGUCAAGUUCACUGCAAAAAGCUUGCACUCGCCGCCACAUCUUGACAUUGCGCAGCCCCUGCGUGGCCCUGAGGAUAUCGAAUGCUAAUGCGGCCGCCCAUUUGUAUGUACUCGCAUGAACCCUCCUUGCAAAAUGUGCGACACUUUUCAUAACCAAUGCGGGCCCCGCUCUCAGCACUUCAGCAUCCAAGUAUGAUAAUUGGGCGAGAUGGAGCCGCGGGGAGAGCUGCCUGAGAGGAAAGGGACAGAGGGUGAACCCGACAUUACUUACCUCCCUUUGUCUAUCCAUCCGUCCACCAUGCCUCUGUUGAUUUGAUUCCCCCCGAUGCCACUUUCUGCCAUUAUCAGGGAUAUCGCAGCUGCAUGUGGUGCUGAGGUACAUUUCUAGGUCAGAGCUCUACUUUCGGGUAUUAAAAACACAUUUCUCUGUCCUGAUCCACUGGUCAGAGGCAGCAUUAGCCGAAUCCAUUGAGUUUAUUGGAAAAAAGCUAGCAGCUUAAGAGGAUAGAGCGUUGGACAGGAGGUUCCGGGCCACAUCUAAAACAAAUCAUUUCUCAGCCCUUAUGUGCCAUUGUCGAAAAAUAAUGAUUCCCCUGUCUCCUUUGAUUUAAUGAAAGAUAAGCGAUGGUCGUGGAAUCCGUCUCCUCCGGUUGAAUCGAUAAACUUGUCGAGAGCGCGAGGGUGGAAAAAAGAAAGUUAAUGUUACUGGGCGAUGAUCAAUAAAAGUUGAUUUGAAUAUGA
RNA transcript from Scophthalmus maximus (turbot), 3043 nucleotides. It is a transcript of the gene named KH domain containing, RNA binding, signal transduction associated 1b, with no coding region annotated. Lineage: Eukaryota; Metazoa; Chordata; Actinopteri; Pleuronectiformes; Scophthalmidae. The transcript has 11 exons. The record is from RefSeq and is a predicted model, not a curated record.